This 73-nucleotide transfer RNA is filed under the name Bos taurus (domestic cattle). It matches the Rfam family "tRNA". Rfam says of the family: Transfer RNA (tRNA) molecules are approximately 80 nucleotides in length. Their secondary structure includes four short double-helical elements and three loops (D, anti-codon, and T loops). Lineage: Eukaryota; Metazoa; Chordata; Mammalia; Artiodactyla; Bovidae. RNAcentral also lists the same sequence under 5 other names. The record is from Rfam by way of RNAcentral.
UCUGUGGUGGUCCAGUGGCUAAGACGCUGCACUUCCAAUACACGAGACGCAGGUUCAAUCCCUGUUUGGGGAA